GAUGAACGCUGGCGGCGUGCCUAAUACAUGCAAGUCGAGCGAACAGACGAGGAGCUUGCUCCUCUGACGUUAGCGGCGGACGGGUGAGUAACACGUGGAUAACCUACCUAUAAGACUGGGAUAACUUCGGGAAACCGGAGCUAAUACCGGAUAAUAUAUUGAACCGCAUGGUUCAAUAGUGAAAGACGGUUUUGCUGUCACUUAUAGAUGGAUCCGCGCCGCAUUAGCUAGUUGGUAAGGUAACGGCUUACCAAGGCAACGAUGCGUAGCCGACCUGAGAGGGUGAUCGGCCACACUGGAACUGAGACACGGUCCAGACUCCUACGGGAGGCAGCAGUAGGGAAUCUUCCGCAGUGGGCGAAAGCUUGACGGAGCAACGCCGCGUGAGUGAUGAAGGUCUUCGGAUCGUAAAACUCUGUUAUUAGGGAAGAACAAAUGUGUAAGGAACUAUGCACGUCUUGACGGUACCUAAUCAGAAAGCCACGGCUAACUACGUG
RNAcentral lists this ribosomal RNA (497 nucleotides) under uncultured bacterium. Its description in RNAcentral is "partial 16S ribosomal RNA". It matches the Rfam family "Bacterial small subunit ribosomal RNA", at positions 28 to 507 of the family's 1533-position model. The record is from RNAcentral.